GAUGAACGCUGUCUACAGGCUUAACACAUGCAAGUCGAGGGGAAACGCCGGGGAAGCUUGCUUCCCCGGGCGUCGACCGGCGCACGGGUGAGUAACGCGUAUCCAACCUGCCUCUGACUGAGGGAUAACCCGUCGAAAGUCGGCCUAAUACCUCAUGGCAUCGUCUGCGGGCAUCCAACGACGAUUAAAGAUUUCAUCGGUCAGGGAUGGGGAUGCGUCUGAUUAGCUUGUUGGCGGGGUAACGGCCCACCAAGGCUACGAUCAGUAGGGGUUCUGAGAGGAAGGUCCCCCACAUUGGAACGGAGACACGGUCCAAACGCCUACGGGAGGCAGCAGUGAGGAAUAUUGGUCAAUGGGCGGGAGCCUGAACCAGCCAAGUAGAGUGCAGGAUGACGGCCCUAUGGGUUGUAAACUGCUUUUAUGCGGGGAUAAAGUGAGGGACGUGUCCUUCAUUGCAGGUACCGCAUGAAUAAGGACCGGCUAAUUCCGUG
This 491-nucleotide ribosomal RNA is filed under the name uncultured bacterium. RNAcentral describes it as "partial 16S ribosomal RNA". It matches the Rfam family "Bacterial small subunit ribosomal RNA", at positions 28 to 507 of the family's 1533-position model. The record is from RNAcentral.